RNAcentral lists this long non-coding RNA (9463 nucleotides) under Sorghum bicolor (sorghum). RNAcentral describes it as "long non-coding RNA (SBIC_LNC014434)". The record is from RNAcentral. Lineage: Eukaryota; Viridiplantae; Streptophyta; Magnoliopsida; Poales; Poaceae.
CUUUAUUAGAAACAACCAUGUGUUUGCAGUUUGCAGAUCAGACGAUAUCUUUUCCAAAGGGAAUAGUGAGGAACCUUUGUGUCCGAGUUGGUACCUUAUAUGCCAUGCAGACUUCGUAGUGGUAGAGACCGGAAAUGAUGAGAGAGCACCUAUCAUCCUAGGGAGGCCAUUCUUGAACACCACGGGAGCUAUCAUCUACGCUAGUGCUGCCAAGAUCAGUUUCUACGUCAAAGGGAAGAAGGAGACGUUUUUCUUCAAGAACAAGACUACACCAAUUCAAGAUCAAUCCAUACGUGAAUCAAGGAAGAGGACCAACAGGAGAAACAGGAACAAGCAAGUGUGGACCGAGUCAGCUAAGAUGGUCACUGUAGUCCAUGGAGGCCAAGAUCAUCAACUUAAGUCACCGUUUUUGACCAAGAAGGACGACACAGGAAUGCCAAGCAUCUACUGCUCCAUAAAUGGAUACAACUUCUACAAGACGAUUUGCGACACCGGAUCGGGCGUCAACAUAAUGGCUGCAGUCACUUAUCGGCUCUUGUUCGGGACCAUGCCACUAAGACCAACAUACAUUCAGCUCCAGAUGGCAGAUCAGACAUUUCGAGAAGUUAAAGGAAUAGUAUCUGAUGUCCCAGUCAAAAUAGACGAUCACUUUGUCUACACAGACUUUCAAGUUGUUGACAUGGGAGAAGAUGAGUAUGAUCCACCCAUCAUCCUUGGAAGACCCUUCCUCAGCACCGUUAAAGCAAUUAUCUACAUUGGAACCGGAGAAGUCCAUAUGCACUUCCCCUCAGAGAAGGUACGCCGUUAUUUUACUGAGCCUAACUAUAUCAUUGAAGAAUCUAAGCAGGUCAGAAAAAGACGGAACCGCAACCAGAGGAGGCAGAUCAUCAAGGACGAAUGGGCAGACUAUGAAGGAGAAGUUGUAAGGUCAGAAGACAUUGAAUUUAAACAGAAUUAUCCAGAGGAGAUCGAAGCACCGAGUCAGGUAUGGAAAAUGAAGAUAACUAUACAAGAAGAGGAGGCGCUGCCGGAAGUACCGACUACGCCACCCAACGAACCUCAGGACAAUUAAGAAAUUGGAGAGUCCCGUUCGGAGGACUUAAAAACACCGAACGCGUUGCCAAGAGGUAAACUUGGUAGUUAUCCUUUCCCUUUCAGUUAUUUCAAAUAGUUUACUUAGUUAAUCAUAUUCACACUAUCUUAAAAAGAAAAUAAAAAUGUGAAAAAACAGUAAGCCCCAUGUGAGUAGACGAGUGGCAUAAAACCCAUAAGUACAUUCACUGUGGUGGCAUAAAAAUAAAAAUAAAUAUUUUCUGCUUUAUAAAAUAAAAAUAUAAAAACAGGGAGUAAUAUUUAUUAAGGAGUCUCAAGAUAAUAAAGGCUAGAUAUUUAUGCUAUCACUUAAUAAGUUCCACAAGCUUUGUUGUCUAUUUGGGCUCCACAGAAAUUUAAGAAUCAAGAAGACUAGUAGACGGAGGACAUUCUAAUCGCUGUCAGAAUGCUGCUGACUUUCAAAUACACCUCUACCACCUGCUAGCUACACCAAGAGAAAUUACGUCAAAAUUCAGCUUGGGGGAGAGCACCCCCAUUUAUCACGAUGAGUAUUUCUAUCUAUCUUUAUACUUAUAUUAUUUUAGAAUAUUAAAAUACACAUAAACUAUGGGAAAACCAAAUAAAGAUUUUAUGCUUAUAUAUGUCUUUUGCUUAGUGUGUUAAAUAAAUAAAUAAAGUGGCUAUGCUAAUCUGUAUCUAAAUAAAACUUAAGCAUGGAUAUGAUAAAUAGUUGCUCUGCCUAAUUUGCAAAUUUUAAGUUCUCUCUCAAGUUUAGAUAUAACUGUUAUAAUUUAAAGCUUGCUCUAGACCUAAACUUGUGGGAUGAAAACUUGUUCUGAAGUCUAAGUUGUUAACGGAUAUGAUAUGGGAAGGUUGAGCUGCUGUUUAUCUGUUCCUAGAGAUGCUAGAAUUCUGGAGAAUUUUAUCUUUGAAAAUCUUUAAAAUGUUGCAUGAUGAGUUCCUUUAUGAUGAGAGUUUAAAUUCCUACCACAGCCAUAUAUACAUGCUUGCUAGACUUUGAGCCACACAUUUAAUAUUUACUGCUUAUGAGCAUUGAGUGUGGUCAAGCUGUGUAGACCCUUAGGAGCUUGUCAUGUGGUUAAAUCAAGAUUCACUUGCACGUUCACUCAUAUAUGCUACUUCUACUCCAGAAGUACCAUCCACAUAUAUCCACCCAUUCCAUCUCCAGAAUCACCCAAAAAUAUUCUACUCCUAAUCCGGGAGAGAAUAACCAAAAAUAUUUCUAUUUUCCCCUUGUGAAAUAAAUGCUCAAGUUAUCUUGUUACUACCACUUGCUAUAUUAUCUCAAGAGAUGAAUGCUCUGAAAAAAAAAGAAAUAAAAAGAGAUACGAGGAAAUAAAAAGGAGCAAGUGCUCGGAACCUCGAAAGAAAAGAAAAAGUGAGACGAGAGGUAAAAAUGGACAAGUGUCCGACAGUAGAAUUAGGGGUGCAAGAUACCCACCUGGAAAAAAAAAGAAGAGCAUCUCAUUCUCCUCAUAAAGUUUCAAUAGCAAGGAAGGUAUGUAUCCCCUCAAAGAGCAAAGUAGAAUUAGACUUCCACCACCAUUGUUUUCACCAUUGUUAUCACCAUCACCACCAUACACCAUUCAUUCGCCACCCAUGCACAUCUUGAUUAAACUUAUUGGCUUGUUACUUUGGAUCCAUGGUUUGACUAUACAAUAAAUGUCUUGUAAGUAUGUAUAUUUUAUCUCCCACCUAUGAGCUCCAGAUAUUAAAGCCCUAUUAGAGUAGGGUGAGAGAGAAGGUAAUGUCACUAUGCCUCAUACCACAAAUACUACAUAUCUUGAGAGAAGGCAUAUACCAUCAAUGCCUUGGUAAGGAUCCAAAAAUACCACAAAAGAGAGACCUGAGAGAAUCAUACAAGGAAUUUCUGAGUUUUAUUUGAAAAUUUGCAAAAACCCCAGAGCUAUAGCUGAUCAAGAAUAAGAGACAUGGCACUUGGCUAGACUGUUCUAUCUUUUAACCACUCAAGACAGAAGUGACAGUUACAAGUCCCAUGGUAAAGGUAAAGUAAGUAAUUUUUAAGUCUUGAUAGUUUACUCUUACUCAGAGAUGAGAUCUUAUUAAAAAAGCAUGUGUACCGUCAAAUUUUUUUAAAAAUAUAUAUAUAUAUAUAUAUAUAUUGCAACAACUUAUGAUCCAUAGCUGAGUCUAUCUUUGCUCAGGGACGAGCAAGAGGUAAGCUUGGGGGAGUUUGUUGACGGUCCUUAAGUAUCAAAUUUAAUUAUCAAAUAAAUAAAGAAAAGGAUCCAAAUGAAAUCAAGAUCAAGACUUAGGGUUUUAUCUGACAGAAUUCCACGAGUUUUGGUGUUUGUCUAUUUCUGCAGGGGGUUAUCAGGAAAUAUGGAAGAAAGGCCCACAUGUCAGGAUUACGUAAAGAUAUUAACGUGCUGCGCAAUUAUCUUACAUCUAGAAGACUCCAGAAGCCACGAGACCGAAGCGGAGGCGAAACGGGGCCAGACCCUGGGCGGCCGCCCAGUUGGUCAGGGCGCCCGCCCUGCCCCUGAGUCCAAUCAGGACUCUGCUUUGCGGGAGAUCUCCACCGACCUAAAGGAUGAAUCCAAACCAUACAAUCUAUGUCGGUUUGAUCCAAGGGCCCAUAUUCACUUGAAGGGACUAUAAAACCAGACCCCCUGGCCCCUGGAGGAGAGAGCCUCUCAACCCUAAUUCAUUGUUCCAUCAAGGAGAGAAGAAGCCUCUGAUCAAGAUUAGAGCCACCACAUCAAUUAGAUAUCUAGAUUAGCAUAGCUACAUAGGAUUAGAACUAGAAGGAGUCAAUCUUCGAUUGGUUUCCGGAUCUGUCAGGAGGAUUCUUGGUAAUUCUCUAAUUGUGCUUCUAAUUGCUUUCUAAUUAUCUUUGUUCUGCAAUAUUAUGAAUAUGACUUUAUUCUACUUCAAUAUAUUGCUUAUAAGUUUGCUCUACUUGUUUAUAUUCGCAAUUAUAUUGUUCUUAGUUUAUCAUAGUUAUGUACUUGGCUUAGUUAGAUUGGAAAUAUAUACAUGUUUAGGAUCGUAUAGCGUUUAUCCAUCGGAUCCAUGGGUAAAUGAUAGAUAUUGUGUAGGCGUGGUGCUUAUACCGUAUUUAUCUGCGAUUGUACCCUAUAUGCCAGAUCGCGGGGUAGUUCGUGGUAGUGACAGCUCCAUUGAUUCUUAUAUAAUCCCCCUCUCGUGUAUUGGGCUAGCAGAGCAACAUUAUUACAGGGGAGUGACUACGAUGUUUCUCAUAUUCCUUGCUAAUAUCACUAUGCAUGGGCGUAGUCCUGUCUCGCAAUGAUUGCUAAGUAUAAUUGCACUAACUACGAUAUGCUAGACUGUAUAGUUGAGAAUAACUUAGGAAAUAUUAUUGUAGUUCAUCCUAAUUCCAUGCUAAUGACUUGCUAGAAUAUCUAAUUAAGGUUCUUAUCAUAUUUAUUAUGUUGCUAAGUUGUGCUGAUCAGAUUAAUUAUCUUUGUCACUAUUCAUUACUUUAUAUAUCCUUUAUGUGACACUUAUCCCUAUAUGAAAGAGUUAGAUAAAUGUUCUCAAUUAUACAUGCAAUGAUAGAUACUCAAUCUUAUAUUCCAUUCUAUAAUCAACAUUGAUGGUAACUAAUCCCUUCCCAGUGGUAAAAAUAUAAAUAACGAUUCCUGGAAUACUUCCCGGUUAAAAUGCUACAUCGGUAUUAAUUUAUGCGCUUGCAGAUCCCAUUUAUUAUUUAUUUAGAUGAGCAAUUGCAUAUUUUAAUACCGCGUCUUUCAUGUCAUGCUGGGGAUGACAACUUGGCUUAAGUGGCAUGGGAGAUAGGUUUGGCAUUUUUGACGCCGUUAUCAGAAUUAGAGAACUAAGUCUACUUUUGGUAAUGACGUUAAGAAUACCCAACAAGCAUUUUUGGCGCUGUUGUCGGGGAAGGUUGAUUACUAAUUAGGAAUGGAUAUAGGAUAUUGAGUCAUCAUUCGCAUCACUAAUAUGAUUGACCUUAUCAAUUCUCUCAUACAGUUUUACCCUGAUAUUUUUCUAUUUUAUCUUAUGCAGAGUAAUGUAUGAAUAGAAGACAUCUUCCAGGAAAUUUUGUUGACAAUUAUUCAGAAAAACAAGAGCCAAGCUCAAGAAGAGAUCAUCAACACUUCAGCAAGAAGCUUCAUCCAAUCAAGAAGAUCACCAGAACUUGUCUUCAGAGUUCGAAGCCAUGGCGAACAAAUCGAUCCGUGAGUUCUCAGCUCCCACUACGGACAACAUCCGCACUGGACCUGCUGCAGAGAUCGACGACAACUUUGAGCUCAAGCCUGGACUUAUCAACAUGGUGCAAUCCAACCAGUUCUGUGGGAAGGCACAUGAAGAUGCUAGUGCUCAUCUCCAACACUUCCUGGAGAUUUGCAGCACAUUUACCAUAUCAGGAGUCCCCAGAGAUGCUAUGCUACUUCGCCUCUUCCCAUUCUCACUGUUAGGAAGAGCGAAACAGUGGUUCUACACUACAAAGGAGAAGAAUACUACGUGGGCACUCUGCUCCAUGAACUUUCUAGCUAAGUUCUUUCCCAUGGGCAAGACCAAUGCUCUCCGUGGGAAGAUUACAAGUUUUCAGCAACAACAUGAUGAAUCCGUUCCAGAAGCAUGGGAGCGCUUCCAAGACUACAUCCUAGAUUGUCCCGAUCAUGGAAUGGAGAGUUGGCUACUGAUGCAGACAUUUUAUCAUGGGCUCGGCAACAGUGCCCGAGUAACCAUGGAUGCUGCAGCUGGAGGAGCAUUCUUAUCACUUACCAUAUCACAAGCCACAGCUCUUGUGGAGAAGAUGGCGUCAAACCAAAGCUGGAAUGAAGAGAGGACCCAGACACGCAAGAAAGGUGGAGGCAUACAUCAGCUCAAGAAGGUAGAUAUGCUAUCUGCAAAGCUAGACCUGCUCAUGAAGAAGCUCGAUGAUAGAGCUGGAGAUAAGAAAUAAGUUAUGCACAUCUACGACUCUCACAUGACUUGUGAGGAGUGUGGAGAUACUGGAUACUCAGGCAAACACUGCUCUGAGAUGCUUGAGGAUGUGAACUACAUCAACAAUAACAACAACAACAACUACUACUACAACCGUCCUCAACAAAAUCAAGGUUGGAAUCAACAGAGGCCUAACUACUCAAGUAAUUAUCAACUUAACAAUUCUUACAAUAAUAAUUUUCCACCUCUGAGAGAGUUAGUGUCUAAUCAAGGAAAGCUAAUGGAUAUCCUAUCUAAGAAAUUGGCAUCUAAUGAUAAAAUGCAAGAAAAUAUAAAUAAUAGAAUGGAUAAUUUCUCUACUGCCAUCAAGAAUCAAAUUAGCUUUAAUAAAAUGAUUGAAUCUCAAUUAAAUCAAAUAGCUGCUGUUGUUCCUACUACUAACCCCGGUAUACUAUCACAACUGGAAGGAUUAGAAUCUGCAAAUCUUGUAGACAUGUUUGAUGCUGGUAACUGGAGUAACCCCGUCACGGAAGUUACUACUGACCUUCUACCGGUCAAGAGAGGCGAUCUAGGGCGCUCCGUCAUCCCGAUCUCCAUCGGCAUGGUGGACUUCCCAGAAGCACUCUGCGACUUUGGCUCCAGCGUCAACAUUAUGCCCAGGGUACUCUAUGAAAAAUUCUUUACAUAUCCUUUAUUAGAAAAAACUAUGUUUUUGUAGUUUGCAGAUCAGACGAUAAGUUUUCCAAAAGGAAUAUUGAAGAACCUCUGCGUCCUAGUUGGUACCUUGUAUGUCCCAGCAGACUUCGUGGUGAUAGAGACCGGUAAUGAUGAGAGGGCACCCAUCAUCUUAGGGAGGCCACUCUUAAACACCUCGGGAGCUGUCAUCUACGCCAGUGCUGCCAAGAUCAGUUUCUACAUCAAAGGGAGAAAGGAGACGUUUUCCUUCAAGAACAAGACUAGACAAAUCCCAGAGCAAUCUAGAUGUGAAUCAAGGAAGAGGACCAACAGGAGGAACAGAAACAAGCAAGUGUGGACCGAGUCAGCUAAGAUGGUCACUGCAGUUCAAGGAGGUCAAGAUCAUCAACUUAAGUCACCAUUUCUGACCAAGAAGGACGACCCAGGAAUGCCAAGCAUCUAUUGCUCCAUAAAUGGAUACAACUUCUACAAGACGUUUUGCGACACCGGAUCGGGCGUCAACAUAAUGGCCGCAGUCACCUAUCUGCUCUUGUUCGGAACCAUGCCCUUAAAACCAACAUACAUUCAGCUCCAGAUGGCAGAUCAGACAUUUCGAGAGGUUGAAGGAACAGUGACUGAUGUCCCAGUCAAAGUAGACGAUCAUUUUGUCUACACAGACUUUCAGGUUAUAGAUAUGGGAGAAGAUGAAUACGAUCCACCCAUCAUUCUUGGAAGACCGUUCCUCAGCACCGUUAAAGCAAUCAUCUACAUUGGAACUGGAGAAGUCCAUAUGCACUUCCCCUCAGAGAAGGUACGCUGCUAUUUUACUGACCCUAACUAUAUCGUUGAAGACUCUAAGCAGGUCAAAAACGACGCAACCGCAACCAGAGGAGGCAAAUCAUCAAGGACGGAUGGGCAGACUAUGAAGGAGAAGUGGUAAGGUCAGAACACAUACAGUUUAAACAGAAUUAUCUAGAGGAGACUGUAGCACCAAGUCAGGUGUGGAGAGAGAAGAUAACUAUACACGAAGAAGAGGCGCCGUCGGAAGUACCGACGACGCCACCCAACGAAUCCCAGGACGACCGAGAAAACGGAGAGUCCCGUUUGGAGGACUUAAAAACACCAAACGCCUUGCCAAGAGGUAAACUUGGUAGUUAUACUUUCCCUUUCAAUUAUUUUAAAAUAGUUAGCUUAGUUAGUUAUGUUCAGACUAUCCUAAAAAGAAAAUAAAAAUGUUAAAAAAAUAGUAAGUCCCAUGUGAGUAUAUGAGUGGCAUAAACCCCAUAAGUACAUUGACUGUGGUGGCAUAAAAAUAAAAUAAAUAUUUCUUUUCUGCUUUAUACAAUGAAAAUAAAAAAAUUAGGGAGUAACAUUUAUUGAGGAGGCUCAACAUGAUAAAGGCUAAAUAUUUAUGCUAACACCUAAUCAGCUCCACAAAGCUUUGUUGUCUAUUUGAGCUCCACAAAAUUUAAGAAUCAAGAAGACUAGCAGAUAGAGGACAUUCUAAUCGCUGUCAAGAUACUGCCGACUUUCAAAUACACCUCUGCCACCUGCUAGCUACAUCAAAAUAAAUUACGUCAAAAUUCAGCUUGGAGGAGAGCACUCCCAUUUAUCUCGCUAAGUAUUUCUAUCUAUCAUUAUACUUGUACUAUACUAAAAUAUAAAUAUACAUUACUAUGAAAAACCAAAUAAAUAUUUUAUACAUAUAUAUAUAUCUUUUGCUUAGUAUGUUUAAUAAAUAAAUAAAUAAAGUGGCUAUGCUAAACUGAAUCUUAAUAAUAAAACUCUAGCAUGGAUAUGAUGAAUAGUUGCUCUGCCUAAUUUUUAAAUUUGAGUACUUUCUCUAGUUUAGACAUAACUGUUAUAAUUUAAAGCUUGCUCUAAACCUGAACUUGUGGGAAGAGAACUUGAUCUGAAGUCUAAGUUGUUAACGGAUAUGAUAUGGGAAGGUUGAGCUGUUGUUUAUCUGUUCCUAGAGAUGCUAGAAUUCUGGAGAAUUUUAUCUUUGAAAAUCUUUAAAAUAUCACAUGAUGAGUUCCUGUAUGAUGAGAGUUUAAAUUCCUACCACAGUCAUAUAUACAUGCUUGCUAGACUUUGAGCCACACAUUUACAUUUUUACUGUUUAUGAGCAUUGAGUGUGGUCAAGCUGUGUAGACCCUUAGGAGCUUGUCAUGUGGUUAAAUCAAGAUUCACUUGCACGUUCACUCACACAUGCUGCUUCUACUCCGGAAGUACCGUCCACAUAUAUCCACUCAUUUCCAUCUCCAGAACCACCCAAAAAUAUUCUACUCCUAAUCUGGGAGAGAAUAGCCAAAAACAUUUCUGUUUUUCCCCUGUGAAAUAAAUGCUCAAGUUAUCUUGUUACUACCACUUGGUAUAUUAUUUCAUGAGAUGAGUGCUCUAAAAAAAGAGAAUACGAGGAAAUAAAAAGGGGCAAAUGCCCGAAACCUCGAAAGAAAAGAAAAAGUGAGACGAGAGGUAAAAAUGGACAAGUGUCCGACAGUAGAAUUAGGGGUACAAGAUACCCACCUGAGAGGAAAAAAAGAAAAGAGAGAGCAUCUCAUUCUCCUCAAGUUUCAAAAGAGCAAGAAAGGUAUAUAUCCCCUCAAAAGAGCAAAAGUAGAAUUAGACAUUCACCAUUGUUAUCACCAUCAUCACCAUACGCCAUUCAUUCGCUACACAUGCACAUAUUGAUUUGAUUUAUUGACUUGUUUCUCUGGAUCCAUGGUUUAACUAUGCAAUAAAUGUCUUGUGAGUAUGUAUACUUUAUCUCCCACCUAUGAGCUCCAGAUAUUAAAAGCCUUAUUAGAGUAGGGUG